RNAcentral lists this unclassified non-coding RNA (449 nucleotides) under Melitaea cinxia (Glanville fritillary). RNAcentral describes it as "misc RNA ENSMCXG00005014312.1". The record is from RNAcentral. Lineage: Eukaryota; Metazoa; Arthropoda; Insecta; Lepidoptera; Nymphalidae.
GGAUUGCGAAAAACCGGGAUGUCUGGCGCGGACUUGGGGAGGCCUAUGUCCAGCAGUGGACUGCCAUAGGCUGAACUGACUGUCUUAAAAGCAUUCAAACUUUAAAUACAAAGUCUGGUACAAGCAACCAGUUCUAGCAGUAAUUUUUUUUGGACGCAAAUAAUGCCAUUUUCGAAUGAAUCUGUUAGUGUAUUUACUAUAUAUUUAUUACACAAUUUUCUUUGGAAUUUUGAUAGGAGUUUCUAUUUUAAAUAUUUUUACAACGCUACCUACCUACAUAUAAUUAUUUUGUAAGUUGUACUAGUAUAUAUAUUCAAAUAUUUAUAGUUUUAAGUAUUGUAAAUUAAGUCAUGACCACCAUCCAAAACCAUUUGUAAAAUUAACCGUUGACCCAUUCGAACGAAUUAAUUAUAUCAAAAAUAUAUGAAAAUAAUUUUUAAUACAUUGUA